RNAcentral lists this long non-coding RNA (275 nucleotides) under Elaeis guineensis (African oil palm). Its description in RNAcentral is "long non-coding RNA (EGUI_LNC054197)". Lineage: Eukaryota; Viridiplantae; Streptophyta; Magnoliopsida; Arecales; Arecaceae. The record is from RNAcentral.
GGGUGCGGGCAUUCAUGUGCGGGUGUGGGUGCGGUUGAUGUGAGCAGGUGCAUGUGGGCACAGGACUUGCGAGCGCGAGGGCACUAUGUGGGUGUAGUUUAAACCAGCUAGGACGUGACACAGAAGGGCCUCAGGUUUUUUAAAAGAGUUUUAAGAGAGGGCGGCUAAACUUUGUGAGACUUGGAAAGAGGGGAGGCGUGAGAGAAACCAAGACUCGAGGCACCUAGGAUUUGAGAAGGUCUUCAAGACUAUAAAAAUUGGUGUGGGGUGGCCCA